UCCCUAUGCCUGACUUGUUGCCCUGACAUGGUGUUCUGCCCCUGCUGUGUUUUGCAAGCUAAGCAGUAUUGGGCCUGUAUGGUGCUUGGAGGGGAGACCCUCCAGGAAAACCCAGGCUUCUGAGGGAA
This 128-nucleotide ribosomal RNA is filed under the name Gopherus agassizii (Agassiz's desert tortoise). The record is from RNAcentral. Lineage: Eukaryota; Metazoa; Chordata; Testudines; Testudinidae.